RNAcentral lists this ribosomal RNA (1623 nucleotides) under Trogon viridis (white-tailed trogon). RNAcentral's name for it is "16S ribosomal RNA". It matches the Rfam family "Bacterial large subunit ribosomal RNA". The record is from RNAcentral. Lineage: Eukaryota; Metazoa; Chordata; Aves; Trogoniformes; Trogonidae.
GCUCGACUCUAGCCCACCCAUAAUAAAUAAGCAUUAAAUGAUAAAAAAAUUAUUCCCCACAAAAAACCAAAGCAUUUUGGCACCCUAGUAUGGGCGACAGAAAAGGUUAACCUCCAUUGGCGCUAUAGAGACCAUAUGUACCGUAAGGGAAAGAUGAAAUAGUAGUGAAAAACCAAGCAAAAAAUAGCAAAGAUAAGCCCUUGUACCUUUUGCAUCAUGAUUUAGCAAGAAAAACCAAGCCAAACGAAUUUAAGCUUGCCCUCCCGAAACCUAAGCGAGCUACCUUCAAGCAGCUAUUAGUUGAGCGAACCCGUCUCUGUUGCAAAAGAGUGGGACGACUUGUUGGUAGUGGUGAAAAGCCAACCGAGCUAGGUGAUAGCUGGUUGCCUGUGAAACGAAUCUAAGUUCCACCCUGAUCUCCCUCAAUAUGGAUAGCUAACUUCCCAAUCCCCCACUGUAGUUAAUCAGGUGAUACUUAAAGGAGGUACAGCUCCUUUAAAAGAGAAUACAGUCUCUCUAAGAGGAUAAGCCACCAAAAAUAUUUCUCACACUUGUAGGCCCUAAAGCAGCCACCAACAAAGAGUGCGUCAAAGCUCUACAUCCAAAGAUCUACAAAACAUCAUGACUCCCUCCCCACUAACAGGCUAAUCUAUCGUUUAAUAGAAGAAUCAAUGCUAAAAUGAGUAACUUCAGGGAUCUCCCCUCUAAAGGCGCAAACUUACAUCCAAUAUUAUUGACAGAUCUACAAAUAACCAAAACCUGACAUUACUAGACCUGAUAUUCGAUUAUCUGUUAUACCAACCCAGGAGCGCCUAAAAGAAGAUUUAAAUCUGUAAAAGGAACUAGGCAACCCCAAGGCCCGACUGUUUACCAAAAACAUAGCCUUCAGCCAACCAAGUAUUGAAGGUGAUGCCUGCCCAGUGACCCUGUGUUCAACGGCCGCGGUAUCCUAACCGUGCAAAGGUAGCGCAAUCAAUUGUCCCAUAAAUCGAGACCUGUAUGAAUGGCUAAACGAGGUCUUAACUGUCUCUUACAGAUGAUCAGUGAAAUUGAUCUCCCUGUGAAAAAGCAGGGAUAAUCCCAUAAGACGAGAAGACCCUGUGGAACUUUAAAAUCAGCAGCUACCCACAACAUAACAAAUCUCCCUACAUAGGGUAACUAUCUAGACAUGUUAGCUCGCAUUUUUUGGUUGGGGCGACCUUGGAGAAAACCAAAUCCUCCAAAAAUCAGACCAAACCUCUUAACCAAGACCCACACCUCAACGUGCUAAUAGCGACCAGACCCAGUACAACUGAUCAAUGGACCAAGCUACCCCAGGGAUAACAGCGCUAUCCCCUUCAAGAGCCCAUAUCGACAAGGGGGUUUACGACCUCGAUGUUGGAUCAGGACAUCCUAAUGGUGCAGCCGCUAUUAAGGGUUCGUUUGUUCAACGAUUAAUAGUCCUACGUGAUCUGAGUUCAGACCGGAGUAAUCCAGGUCGGUUUCUAUCUAUGAUCAACUUUCCCUAGUACGAAAGGACUGGAAAAGUAAGGCCAAUGUAUCAACCCAUGCCUUCCCCAAAAGUAAUGACACCAUCUUAAUUACCAAAGGGCUACCCACUCCCACAUCCUAGAAAAGGACUCA